AAACAUGACUUUGAUCUGCGUCCUCAUCUGGACUCUCCUCUGCUGCUGCUUCACAGAGUCCAGAGGACAGAUCACAGUGACUCAGCCUGGAGCAGUGAGCUCUGCUGUGGGACGAUCUGUGACCAUCAACUGUAGGACCAGUCAGGAUGUAGCAGGCUCCAACUAUUUAUCCUGGUACCAACAGAAAGAUGGAGAACCACACAAACUGCUCAUUUACACUGCUAACAGGAGAGAAUCAGGGAUUCCAGCUCGUUUUACAGGCAGUGGAUCAAACUCUGUCUUCACUCUGACCAUCAGUGGAGUCCAGGCUGAAGAUGCAGCAGUUUAUUACUGUCAGAGUUUUCACUAUAUCAACAGUCAAGAUGUGUUCACACAGUGA
Archocentrus centrarchus (flier cichlid) is the source of this 379-nucleotide non-coding RNA. The record is from the annotation of a RefSeq genome assembly. Lineage: Eukaryota; Metazoa; Chordata; Actinopteri; Cichliformes; Cichlidae.